This 497-nucleotide ribosomal RNA is filed under the name uncultured bacterium. Its description in RNAcentral is "partial 16S ribosomal RNA". It matches the Rfam family "Bacterial small subunit ribosomal RNA", at positions 28 to 507 of the family's 1533-position model. The record is from RNAcentral.
GACGAACGCUGGCGGCGUGCCUAAUACAUGCAAGUAGAACGCUGAAGAGAGGAGCUUGCUCUUCUUGGAUGAGUUGCGAACGGGUGAGUAACGCGUAGGUAACCUGCCUUGUAGCGGGGGAUAACUAUUGGAAACGAUAGCUAAUACCGCAUAACAAUGGAUGACACAUGUCAUUUAUUUGAAAGGGGCAAUUGCUCCACUACAAGAUGGACCUGCGUUGUAUUAGCUAGUAGGUGAGGUAAUGGCUCACCUAGGCGACGAUACAUAGCCGACCUGAGAGGGUGAUCGGCCACACUGGGACUGAGACACGGCCCAGACUCCUACGGGAGGCAGCAGUAGGGAAUCUUCGGCAAUGGGGGCAACCCUGACCGAGCAACGCCGCGUGAGUGAAGAAGGGUUUCGGAUCGUAAAGCUCUGUUGUAAGUCAAGAACGGGUGUGAGAGUGGAAAGUUCACACUGCGACGGUAGCUUACCAGAAAGGGACGGCUAACUACGUG